GCAGCGCAAUACAUAGCGAGUUGAACUUCUAAUCCAUAGGUCAUGGGUUCGAAUCCCAUCUGAGGUG
Trichonephila inaurata madagascariensis is the source of this 67-nucleotide non-coding RNA. NCBI's taxonomy places the organism in Eukaryota, Metazoa, Arthropoda, Arachnida, Araneae, Nephilidae. The record is from the annotation of a GenBank genome assembly.